UUAAGCGACUAAGCGUACACGGUGGAUGCCCUGGCAGUCAGAGGCGAUGAAGGACGUGCUAAUCUGCGAUAAGCGCCGGUAAGGUGAUAUGAACCGUUAUAACCGGCGAUUUCCGAAUGGGGAAACCCAGUGUGACUCGUCACACUAUCAUUAACUGAAUCCAUAGGUUAAUGAGGCGAACCGGGGGAACUGAAACAUCUAAGUACCCCGAGGAAAAGAAAUCAACCGAGAUUCCCCCAGUAGCGGCGAGCGAACGGGGAGGAGCCCAGAGCCUGAAUCAGCAUGUGUGUUAGUGGAAGCGUCUGGAAAGGCGCGCGAUACAGGGUGACAGCCCCGUACACAAAAGCGCAUGUGCUGUGAGCUCGAUGAGUAGGGCGGGACACGUGGUAUCCUGUCUGAAUAUGGGGGGACCAUCCUCCAAGGCUAAAUACUCCUGACUGACCGAUAGUGAACCAGUACCGUGAGGGAAAGGCGAAAAGAACCCCGGCGAGGGGAGUGAAAAAGAACCUGAAACCGUGUACGUACAAGCAGUGGGAGCCCCACCACUAAGCCAGUGGUGAACUCCACAUACGCAUCCUUUGCUGAGGAUACGGUUAACGGAGCGAAAGCGACGUUCAACCUCAAAAGAAGCAGAGGGGGCUUAGUGGUGGGGUGACUGCGUACCUUUUGUAUAAUGGGUCAGCGACUUAUAUUCUGUAGCAAGGUUAACCGAAUAGGGGAGCCGGAGGGAAACCGAGUCUUAACCGGGCGUUAAGUUGCAGGGUAUAGACCCGAAACCCGGUGAUCUAGCCAUGGGCAGGUUGAAGGUUGGGUAACACUAACUGGAGGACCGAACCGACUAAUGUUGAAAAAUUAGCGGAUGACCUGUGGCUGGGGGUGAAAGGCCAAUCAAACCGGGAGAUAGCUGGUUCUCCCCGAAAGCUAUUUAGGUAGCGCCUCGUGAAUUCAUCUCCGGGGGUAGAGCACUGUUUCGGCUAGGGGGCCAUCCCGGCUUACCAACCCGAUGCAAACUGCGAAUACCGGAGAAUGUUAUCACGGGAGACACACGGCGGGUGCUAACGUCCGUCGUGAAGAGGGAAACAACCCAGACCGCCAGCUAAGGUCCCAAAGUCAUGGUUAAGUGGGAAACGAUGUGGGAAGGCCCAGACAGCCAGGAUGUUGGCUUAGAAGCAGCCAUCAUUUAAAGAAAGCGUAAUAGCUCACUGGUCGAGUCGGCCUGCGCGGAAGAUGUAACGGGGCUAAACCAUGCACCGAAGCUGCGGCAGCGACGCUGAUGCGUUGUUGGGUAGGGGAGCGUUCUGUAAGCCUGCGAAGGUGGCCUGUGAGGGUUGCUGGAGGUAUCAGAAGUGCGAAUGCUGACAUAAGUAACGAUAAAGCGGGUGAAAAGCCCGCUCGCCGGAAGACCAAGGGUUCCUGUCCAACGUUAAUCGGGGCAGGGUGAGUCGACCCCUAAGGCGAGGCCGAAAGGCGUAGUCGAUGGGAAACGGGUUAAUAUUCCCGUACUUGGUGUUACUGCGAAGGGGGGACGGAGAAGGCUAUGUUGGCCGGGCGACGGUUGUCCCGGUUUAAGCGUGUAGGUGUGUGUUCCAGGUAAAUCCGGUUCACUUUAACACUGAGGCGUGAUGACGAGGCACUACGGUGCUGAAGCAACAAAUGCCCUGCUUCCAGGAAAAGCCUCUAAGCAUCAGGUAACAUCAAAUCGUACCCCAAACCGACACAGGUGGUCAGGUAGAGAAUACCAAGGCGCUUGAGAGAACUCGGGUGAAGGAACUAGGCAAAAUGGUGCCGUAACUUCGGGAGAAGGCACGCUGACACGUAGGUGAAGUGAUUUACUCAUGGAGCUGAAGUCAGUCGAAGAUACCAGCUGGCUGCAACUGUUUAUUAAAAACACAGCACUGUGCAAACACGAAAGUGGACGUAUACGGUGUGACGCCUGCCCGGUGCCGGAAGGUUAAUUGAUGGGGUCAGCGCAAGCGAAGCUCCUGAUCGAAGCCCCGGUAAACGGCGGCCGUAACUAUAACGGUCCUAAGGUAGCGAAAUUCCUUGUCGGGUAAGUUCCGACCUGCACGAAUGGCGUAAUGAUGGCCAGGCUGUCUCCACCCGAGACUCAGUGAAAUUGAACUCGCUGUGAAGAUGCAGUGUACCCGCGGCAAGACGGAAAGACCCCGUGAACCUUUACUAUAGCUUGACACUGAACAUUGAGCCUUGAUGUGUAGGAUAGGUGGGAGGCUUUGAAGUGUGGACGCCAGUCUGCAUGGAGCCGGCCUUGAAAUACCACCCUUUAAUGUUUGAUGUUCUAACGUGGACCCGUGAUCCGGGUUGCGGACAGUGUCUGGUGGGUAGUUUGACUGGGGCGGUCUCCUCCUAAAGAGUAACGGAGGAGCACGAAGGUUGGCUAAUCCUGGUCGGACAUCAGGAGGUUAGUGCAAUGGCAUAAGCCAGCUUGACUGCGAGCGUGACGGCGCGAGCAGGUGCGAAAGCAGGUCAUAGUGAUCCGGUGGUUCUGAAUGGAAGGGCCAUCGCUCAACGGAUAAAAGGUACUCCGGGGAUAACAGGCUGAUACCGCCCAAGAGUUCAUAUCGACGGCGGUGUUUGGCACCUCGAUGUCGGCUCAUCACAUCCUGGGGCUGAAGUAGGUCCCAAGGGUAUGGCUGUUCGCCAUUUAAAGUGGUACGCGAGCUGGGUUUAGAACGUCGUGAGACAGUUCGGUCCCUAUCUGCCGUGGGCGCUGGAGAACUGAGGGGGGCUGCUCCUAGUACGAGAGGACCGGAGUGGACGCAUCACUGGUGUUCGGGUUGUCAUGCCAAUGGCACUGCCCGGUAGCUAAAUGCGGAAGAGAUAAGUGCUGAAAGCAUCUAAGCACGAAACUUGCCCCGAGAUGAGUUCUCCCUGAGACUUAGAGUCUCCUGAAGGAACGUUGAAGACGACGACGUUGAUAGGCCGGGUGUGUAAGCGCAGCGAUGCGUUGAGCUAACCGGUACUAAUGAACCGUGAGGCUUAACCUU
This 3005-nucleotide ribosomal RNA is filed under the name Salmonella enterica subsp. enterica serovar Bredeney. RNAcentral's name for it is "bacterial LSU rRNA". It matches the Rfam family "Bacterial large subunit ribosomal RNA". RNAcentral also lists the same sequence under 1 other name. Lineage: Bacteria; Pseudomonadati; Pseudomonadota; Gammaproteobacteria; Enterobacterales; Enterobacteriaceae. The record is from RNAcentral.